Molecule: non-coding RNA, 88 nt
Organism: Cricetulus griseus (Chinese hamster)
Lineage: Eukaryota; Metazoa; Chordata; Mammalia; Rodentia; Cricetidae
Source: Rfam
CCUUCGAUAGCUCAGUUGGUAGAGCGGAGGACUGUAGGUAGACCUUCCAGGUAUCCUUAGGUCGCUGGUUCGAAUCCGGCUCGAAGGA